Molecule: ribosomal RNA, 402 nt
Filed under: uncultured Succinivibrio sp.
Lineage: Bacteria; Pseudomonadati; Pseudomonadota; Gammaproteobacteria; Aeromonadales; Succinivibrionaceae
Description: bacterial SSU rRNA
Rfam family: Bacterial small subunit ribosomal RNA
Source: RNAcentral
UGGGGAAUAUUGCACAAUGGGCGAAAGCCUGAUGCAGCGACGCCGCGUGAGCGAAGAAGUAUUUCGGUAUGUAAAGCUCUAUCAGCAGGGAAGAUAAUGACGGUACCUGACUAAGAAGCACCGGCUAACUCCGUGCCAGCAGCCGCGGUAAUACGGAGGGUGCAAGCGUUAAUCGGAAUAACUGGGCGUAAAGGGCAUGCAGGCGGUUUAUCAAGUAGGAUGUGAAAGCCCCGGGCUCAACCUGGGAAUUGCAUUCUAAACUGAUAGACUAGAGUAUUGCAGGGGGAGACGGAAUUCCAGGUGUAGCGGUGGAAUGCGUAGAUAUCUGGAAGAACACCAAAGGCGAAGGCAGUCUCCUGGGCAAAUACUGACGCUCAUAUGCGAAAGCGUGGGUAGCAAACA